UACAGGGGGUGCAAACGUUGCUCGGAAUCAUUGGGCGGAAAGCGCACGUAGGCGGUUCGUUAUGUCGGAUGUGAAAGCCCUUGGCUUAACCGAGGAAGUGCAUCCGAAACUGGCGAGCUAGAGUACGAGAGAGGAUCGCGGAAUUCCCGGUGUAGAGGUGAAAUUCGUAGAUAUCGGGAGGAACACCGGUGGCGAAGGCGGCGAUCUGGGUCGAUACUGACGCUGAGGUGCGAAAGCGUGGGGAGCAAACAGG
This 253-nucleotide ribosomal RNA is filed under the name uncultured bacterium. RNAcentral describes it as "partial 16S ribosomal RNA". It matches the Rfam family "Bacterial small subunit ribosomal RNA", at positions 524 to 776 of the family's 1533-position model. The record is from RNAcentral.